UACGGAGGGUGCAAGCGUUAUCCGGAUUCACUGGGUUUAAAGGGUGCGUAGGUGGGUUUGUAAGUCAGUGGUGAAAUCUCCAGGCUUAACCUGGAAACUGCCAUUGAUACUAUAGAUCUUGAAUUUUCUGGAGGUAAGCGGAAUAUGUCAUGUAGCGGUGAAAUGCUUAGAUAUGACAUAGAACACCAAUUGCGAAGGCAGCUUGCUACAGGAAUAUUGACACUGAGGCACGAAAGCGUGGGGAUCAAACAGG
This 253-nucleotide ribosomal RNA is filed under the name uncultured bacterium. Its description in RNAcentral is "partial 16S ribosomal RNA". It matches the Rfam family "Bacterial small subunit ribosomal RNA", at positions 524 to 776 of the family's 1533-position model. The record is from RNAcentral.